GGGCCCAUAACUCAGCUUGGCCAGAGUGUCUGACUUUUAAUCAGAAAGCCGAGGGUUCGAAAACACAGGGGAGCAAAUCAAACCCAAUGUCCCCCUAAGGUUCCUCCCCUCUUCGCAUCCGAAGAUGGCGCGGCGCAACCUUUGUUGAAAAUCCCUCUGGGCCCG
This 165-nucleotide transfer RNA is filed under the name Microcaldota archaeon. Its description in RNAcentral is "tRNA-Lys". Lineage: Archaea; Nanobdellati; Microcaldota. The record is from RNAcentral.